GAGGAUGUACCUCAGUGAUAGAGUGCUCGCCUAUCAUGUGUGAAGCCUGGGUUCAAUCCCCAGUAGUUCUCA
RNAcentral lists this transfer RNA (72 nucleotides) under Heterocephalus glaber (naked mole-rat). It matches the Rfam family "tRNA". Rfam says of the family: Transfer RNA (tRNA) molecules are approximately 80 nucleotides in length. Their secondary structure includes four short double-helical elements and three loops (D, anti-codon, and T loops). The record is from Rfam by way of RNAcentral. Lineage: Eukaryota; Metazoa; Chordata; Mammalia; Rodentia; Bathyergidae.